This 472-nucleotide ribosomal RNA is filed under the name uncultured bacterium. Its description in RNAcentral is "partial 16S ribosomal RNA". It matches the Rfam family "Bacterial small subunit ribosomal RNA", at positions 28 to 523 of the family's 1533-position model. The record is from RNAcentral.
GAUGAACGCCGACAGAAUGCUUAACACAUGCAAGUCUACUUGAUCCUUCGGGUGAUGGUGGCGGACGGGUGAGUAACGCGUAAAGAACUUGCCCUGCAGUCUGGGACAACAUUUGGAAACGAAUGCUAAUACCGGAUAUUAUGUGAGUUUCGCAUGAAAUUCAUAUGAAAGAUAUAUGCGCUGCAGGAGAGCUUUGCGUCCUAUUAGCUAGUUGGUGAGGUAACGGCUCACCAAGGCGAUGAUAGGUAGCCGGCCUGAGAGGGUGAACGGCCACAAGGGGACUGAGACACGGCCCUUACUCCUACGGGAGGCAGCAGUGGGGAAUAUUGGACAAUGGACCAAAAGUCUGAUCCAGCAAUUCUGUGUGCACGAUGAAGUUUUUCGGAAUGUAAAGUGCUUUCAGUUGGGACGAAGUAAGUGACGGUACCAACAGAAGAAGCGACGGCUAAAUACGUGCCAGCAGCCGCGGUAA